UGCCUACGGGGGGCAGCAGUGGGGAAUUUUGGACAAUGGGCGCAAGCCUGAUCCAGCAAUGCCGCGUGCAGGAAGAAGGCCUUCGGGUUGUAAACUGCUUUUGUCAGGGAAGAAAUCCUUUGGGUUAAUACCUCGAAGGGAUGACGGUACCUGAAGAAUAAGCACCGGCUAACUACGUGCCAGCAGCCGCGGUAAUACGUAGGGUGCGAGCGUUAAUCGGAAUUACUGGGCGUAAAGCGUGCGCAGGCGGCUUUGCAAGACAGAGGUGAAAUCCCCGGGCUCAACCUGGGAACUGCCUUUGUGACUGCAAGGCUAGAGUACGGCAGAGGGGGAUGGAAUUCCGCGUGUAGCAGUGAAAUGCGUAGAUAUGCGGAGGAACACCGAUGGCGAAGGCAAUCCCCUGGGCCUGUACUGACGCUCAUGCACGAAAGCGUGGGGAGCAAACAGGAUUAGAUACCCGGGUAGUCAA
This 469-nucleotide ribosomal RNA is filed under the name uncultured Comamonadaceae bacterium. RNAcentral's name for it is "bacterial SSU rRNA". It matches the Rfam family "Bacterial small subunit ribosomal RNA", at positions 335 to 797 of the family's 1533-position model. Lineage: Bacteria; Pseudomonadati; Pseudomonadota; Betaproteobacteria; Burkholderiales; Comamonadaceae. The record is from RNAcentral.